Molecule: long non-coding RNA, 442 nt
Organism: Cylas formicarius (sweet potato weevil)
Lineage: Eukaryota; Metazoa; Arthropoda; Insecta; Coleoptera; Brentidae
Exons: 3
Source: RefSeq, a predicted model, not a curated record
AAACAAAUCUACGAUGGUCUACGAUGACUGAAAACUAUGAUCGGCAUAUAAAAUAAGAAAGUUGUAUUCAUUUAUGAGAAAAAACGGAGAACUGUAGAAAAAAUGUUGCCGGGGUCCCUCGAACAUCCCUUUCUAGACGCGUUGAUGUUCUUCAUUUCGUUGCCGGAAAUGUCUAUUUUGAUGUCGAUGAUCGGCCUCGUCUUGAAGAGCAGGGCUCUGUCGGAAUCGUAGGCGCCGACUAGCAGAUCCGGGUAGCCAUUGUUGUCCAUAUCCAAGCCGCCGCUCAACGAGUAUCCGAAAGUUGUCUACCCUUGCAAUAUUGUAAGCUCUCCGUGGCCUUGAGGUCGCUAUCCAGCAAAUAGCAGAACCCUUGACCGAAGUGAAAUUUGCUCAGGUCCGGACUUUGGAUGUAGCGAUGAGCGCAGACGAUCACCAAACCGCC